AUGUCCAGCAAUUCUUUGAAACCCUAUCAAGCCUUGAUGGGCAAUCUUCCCAGAAGGUACACAGCUCUGGACGUACCAACACUCUAUUUAAAAACCGGUAAGGUAGAGUGGAAGGCAGAGCUGAGUGAAACUGACACCUGGUAUUUGCUGGAGGUUUCUUUCUGGAAAGCUGACAGCACACCUCUGACCCUCUCCAAAAGGUCUGAUGUGAAAUAUUGCGACAAAGUUGGAAUCAAUUGGCAGAUUCUAAUAUUUUGCUGGCUUCAUGAAGGAAUGUCGAGGUUUAGGUUUUAAUGAUCUGGAACAUUCUAAAAGGUAUUGGGUUGAUUCGUCUUCAUAGGCUUGAUAGAAUUCUCUUGUGAAAUACUCUUGACCUAAAAUGUGUGUGUGUGUGUGUGUGUGUGUGUGUUGUGAGAAAGUAGGCAUAAAAGAGAAGAGAAGUCAAUAAUGACUCUAGAAUUCUGGCUUGCAUAUUUGUUUGGAUAGUGUUGCCAUUGCCUGAAAUAGGGAGCUCUGACAGAAGUCCAGGCUUAGGUGAAAAUCUCAUGGAUUUGAUUUUAAAUAAAUGUUGACUUUCAGAUUUUGCCUGACGAGGAGCCUCGGAGUGGCAUUGUACUUGUCAGAGAGACGAUGACCAGGAAAUUUGUGCAGAAGCUGUGUUUAAAUGUUGUAUUAGUUUGCUAGGGCUGCUACAACAAAAUACCCCAAACUGAGUUGCCUGAACAAUAGAAAUGGGUUCUCUCAUAGUUCUGGAGGCCAGAAGUCCAAAAUCAAGCUGUUGGCAGGGUUGGUUUCAUCUGAGAGAAGGAUCUGUUCUGGGCCUCUUUCCUAACAUCUGAUAGUUCCUUGGCUUGUGGUGGCAUAAACCCAGUCUUCACAUGGCAUUCUCCCUGUGUGUCUGGGGACACCCAUCAUAUAAGCCCACUCUAAUGACUUCAUUUUAACUUCAUUACCUCUGUAAAGCCUGUGUUUCCAAAUGAGCUCACAUUCUGAGAUAUUGGGGUUAGAACUUCAACAUCUGAAUAUUAGGGGGAAACACAAUUCAAACCAUAACAAAUAUCAAACAUACUCUCUUAAUUUAAAUUUUAUUUUUAUUUUGGGGUAGCUUCUGGGGUGGGGCUAAUGAAGAUUAUUUGGAGGAAAUAUUCCCCACCCACCAGCCACUCAUUGUUGCUGCCAAAAAUUUGCUGCUGUGUAUUGAGGUGACUUCAAGAUAUUCAAAAGCAUAUGUUAUGCUAAGCGAAAGAAGACAAGCACAGGAGACCAC
RNAcentral lists this long non-coding RNA (1267 nucleotides) under Pan troglodytes (chimpanzee). Its description in RNAcentral is "lncRNA (ENSPTRG00000053439.1)". The record is from RNAcentral. Lineage: Eukaryota; Metazoa; Chordata; Mammalia; Primates; Hominidae.